AUGAAUGGCAACAGCAGCAGCAGGGGCGGGGGAGGGUACGAGAGCGGGAGCGACCAGGACGGCGGGAUGCGGAAGCCGCUGCUGGUGAACACGGGGAGCUGGUACAGGAUGGGGAUGGGGUCGCGGCAGUCGAGCCUCACGGCGGGGACCUCGUCCAUGGCCGUCAUGCGGGAGUCCCACGUCUCCGCCUUCCUCUGCACGCUCAUCGUCGCCCUGGGACCCAUCCAGUUCGGCUUCACCGGCGGCUUCUCCUCCCCCACCCAGGACGCCAUCAUCCGGGACCUCAACCUCUCCAUCUCCGAGUUCUCGGUGUUCGGCUCGCUCUCCAACGUCGGCGCCAUGGUCGGGGCCAUCGCCAGCGGCCAGAUGGCGGAAUACAUUGGCCGCAAAGGGUCGUUGAUGAUUGCGGCGAUUCCUAACAUCAUUGGUUGGCUUGCCAUCUCCUUCGCGAAAGACUCGUCCUUUCUGUAUAUGGGACGAUUGCUUGAAGGAUUUGGUGUUGGGGUCAUAUCCUACACGGUGCCAGUGUACAUAGCAGAGAUUUCCCCUCAGAACAUGAGAGGCGCUCUUGGCUCUGUGAACCAGCUGUCUGUAACAAUUGGUAUCUUGUUGGCCUAUUUGCUCGGCAUGUUUGUUCCUUGGAGGAUGCUUGCAGUGAUAGGAAUCUUGCCGUGCACAAUCUUGAUUCCUGGCCUAUUUUUCAUUCCAGAAUCUCCAAGAUGGCUGGCAAAGAUGAACAAGAUGGAGGAUUUCGAGACCUCUCUACAGGUUUUGAGGGGAUUUGAGACUGACAUCACGUCAGAAGUGAAUGACAUAAAGAGAGCAGUAACAUCAGCAAACAAAAGGACUACAAUCCGUUUUCACGAGUUAAACCAAAAGAAGUUCCGCACGCCCUUGACACUAGGAAUUGGCCUGCUUGUACUGCAACAGCUAAGUGGAAUCAACGCUAUACUGUUUUAUGCAAGUAGCAUUUUCAAAGCUGCAGGUCUUACAAAUAGUGACUUGGCCACAUGUGCUCUUGGAGCUAUUCAAGUUGUUGCCACUGGAGUUACAACCUGGUUACUAGACAGAGCUGGACGACGGAUCCUACUUAUUAUAUCUUCUGCUGGGAUGACUCUAAGCCUUCUUGCCGUUGCCGUUGUAUUUUUUUUCAAGGACAACGUUUCACAAGAUUCUCACAUGUAUUACAUAUUAAGCAUGACCUCCUUGAUCGCUAUCGUGGCUUAUGUAAUCGCCUUCUCCUUUGGUAUGGGUGCUAUUCCAUGGGUCAUAAUGUCUGAGAUUCUACCGGUUAGCAUUAAGAGUCUUGCAGGAAGCUUCGCGACACUAGCCAACUGGCUGACAUCCUUUGCAAUGACAAUGACAGCAAACUUGCUGCUCAGCUGGAGUGCCGGAGGGACUUUUGUGUCCUACAUGAUCGUGAGCGCUUUCACUCUCGUCUUCGUCGUCCUUUGGGUGCCAGAGACAAAGGGAAGAACUCUCGAGGAGAUACAAUGGUCGUUCCGAUGAGUGCCGUGGUAUUCCCAUACGCCGUGAUUCUUGGGAGUUGGGUAUUAUUGGUUUGUUUUUUACAACUCCAAGUCGAUUACUGGAUGAAGCCCAAGAAUUCUUUCUGUCCAUAAAACGUUGUUUGUAUAUUCCUGCACAACAUUGUUCCCAAUUGAUUUUGUAAAAGGCUUGUGAAGCGACUCUCAUCUCAUCAGAUUGCUUUUAUUUGCUGUAGCAUGAUCAGCAGGGUUGUCGCAGAAAUAAAAUGAGGACGAAGGAGGAGAUUUGGUGGGCCCUAAUAGCAAAGCAAUCAAGCUUGACAGUACUGUUGUCGUUUGUUUGGUUGUGAGCCAAGUUUUGAACUCUUUUACAGCUGUAUCGUCUUGGUAUGACCACUAGAAUCAAAGUGCUUCCUUCUGGAAAUAAAAGCAAGCAAGCAAGCUGGAAAUUGAAAUUCCUCACCAUCGCUAUUGCUUUGUAAAGAAAGAAGUAUCCGAUUCUGAGCAGCUGAAAGAAGGUGGUGUCUCGAUCUAAAUGAUGCAGAUAGCAGUAUGGCACAAGCAAGGAGCUAAUCCAUGGUGUACCCUGGCCAAAAGCACAUGGUGCUGUGGCAUGUAGUACUCGGCUAGCUAUAAGAGUUGCAGUAUCCUCUGCAAGCAGAAACACAAUCAGGUUAUCAGGACAAAAGAGCUGGGAGGCAGGAGGUGCACAUAAGCACAUUGUUGGUGUGCUCAGUCGCCACCUUGAGGUCGAUAUCAUGUCAUCUAUCGCCUGCACCACCGAUGGUUCGGAGCUCUUCUCCAAGCAUGUGAAUGGGUUGUUGUUGCAUGUGGACACUCUCCUGGUGGCGAACGCCAUAUUGAUGGGAGUCAUAGUCGGGUUAGGCGCCUAUCGGCAUCGCUAUCGCCACCAUCCUUUGAUCCGCUUCAUCUACCUCGGAGCCACCACCUUGUUUCUACCCAUCGUCUCCUAUGUCACCUCCACCCUUGAAAAUCCAUACACCCCCAUUGUUUAUGUAGCAGGCAACCGAUUUGUAACAGCAAACUGUUACACAGAUGAUCACGUCACCCUUGUUGUAUUGUGGAUAGGUCUUGUUCAGAUCGUCGGUACCAAUGCCACUGCAAUAGUGGCUAGUGAUUCUAGAGAAGGACGAAGCAUUGCACCACCUGCAGUGCAGCUUGUUCAA
Brachypodium distachyon (stiff brome) is the source of this 2674-nucleotide RNA transcript. It is a transcript of the gene named sugar transporter ERD6-like 4, with no coding region annotated. NCBI's taxonomy places the organism in Eukaryota, Viridiplantae, Streptophyta, Magnoliopsida, Poales, Poaceae. The transcript has 19 exons. The record is from RefSeq and is a predicted model, not a curated record.